UAGGGAAUCUUCCACAAUGGGUGCAAACCUGAUGGAGCAAUGCCGCGUGAGUGAAGAAGGUUUUCGGAUCGUAAAGCUCUGUUGUUAGAGAAGAACACGUGCUAGGUAACUACUAGCGCCUUGACGGUAUCUAACCAGAAAGUCACGGCUAACUACGUGCCAACAGCCGCGGUAAUACGUAGGUGACAAGCGUUGUCCGGAUUUAUUGGGCGUAAAGGGAGCGCAGGCGGUCUGUUUAGUCUAAUGUGAAAGCCCACGGCUUAACCGUGGAACGGCAUUGGAAACUGACAGACUUGAAUGUAGAAGAGGAAAAUGGAAUUCCAAGUGUAGCGGUGGAAUGCGUAGAUAUUUGGAGGAACACCAGUGGCGAAGGCGAUUUUCUGGUCUAACAUUGACGCUGAGGCUCGAAAGCGUGGGGAGCGAACAGGAUUAGAUACCCUGGUAGUCCACGCCGUAAACGAUGAGUGCUAAGUGUUGGGGGCUUUCCGGCCCUCGGUGCUGGAGCUAACGUAUUAAGCACUCCGCCUGGGGAUUACGACCGCAAGGUUG
This 549-nucleotide ribosomal RNA is filed under the name uncultured bacterium. Its description in RNAcentral is "bacterial SSU rRNA". It matches the Rfam family "Bacterial small subunit ribosomal RNA", at positions 355 to 896 of the family's 1533-position model. The record is from RNAcentral.